CCUACGGGAGGCAGCAGUGGGGGAUAUUGCACAAUGGGGGGAACCCUGAUGCAGCGACGCCGCGUGGGUGAAGGAGUGCUUCGGCAUGUAAAGCCCUAUCGGCAGGGAAGAAGCAAGACGGUACCUGACUAAGAAGCUCCGGCUAACUACGUGCCAGCAGCCGCGGUAAGACGUAGGGGGCGAGCGUUAUCCGGAUGCACUGGGUGUAAAGGGAGCGUAGACGGCCAUGCAAGCCAGGGGUGAAAGCCCGGGGGCCAACCCCGGGACUGCCCUUGGAACUGCAUGGCUGGAGUGCGGGAGGGGCAGGCGGAAUUCCUGGUGUAGCGGUGAAAUGCGUAGAUAUCAGGAGGAACACCGGCGGCGAAGGCGGCCUGCUGGACCGCGACUGACGUUGAGGCUCGAAAGCGUGGGGAGCGAACAGGAUUAGAUACCCCUGUAGUC
RNAcentral lists this ribosomal RNA (441 nucleotides) under uncultured bacterium. RNAcentral describes it as "partial 16S ribosomal RNA". It matches the Rfam family "Bacterial small subunit ribosomal RNA", at positions 338 to 795 of the family's 1533-position model. The record is from RNAcentral.